This 73-nucleotide transfer RNA is filed under the name Caldisalinibacter kiritimatiensis. It matches the Rfam family "tRNA". Rfam says of the family: Transfer RNA (tRNA) molecules are approximately 80 nucleotides in length. Their secondary structure includes four short double-helical elements and three loops (D, anti-codon, and T loops). The record is from Rfam by way of RNAcentral. Lineage: Bacteria; Bacillati; Bacillota; Tissierellia; Tissierellales; Thermohalobacteraceae.
GACCCAUUAGCUCAGUCGGUAGAGCACCUGACUUUUAAUCAGGGUGUCCGGCGUUCGAGUCGCCGAUGGGUCA